GAUGAACGCUGGCGGCGUGCCUAAUACAUGCAAGUCGAGCGAACGGACGAGAAGCUUGCUUUUCUGAUGUUAGCGGCGGACGGGUGAGUAACACGUGGAUAACCUACCUAUAAGACUGGGAUAACUUCGGGAAACCGGAGCUAAUACCGGAUAAUAUUUUGAACCGCAUGGUUCAAAAGUGAAAGACGGUCUUGCUGUCACUUAUAGAUGGAUCCGCGCUGCAUUAGCUAGUUGGUAAGGUAACGGCUUACCAAGGCAACGAUGCAUAGCCGACCUGAGAGGAUGAUCAGCCACACUGGAACUGAGACACGGUCCAGACUCCUACGGGAGGCAGCAGUAGGGAAUCUUCCGCAAUGGGCGAAAGCCUGACGGAGCAACGCCGCGUGAGUGAUGAAGGUCUUCGGAUCGUAAAACUCUGUUAGUAGGGAAGAACAUAUGUGUAAGUAACUGUGCACAUCUUGACGGUACCUAAUCAGAAAGCCACGGCUAACUACGUG
RNAcentral lists this ribosomal RNA (497 nucleotides) under uncultured bacterium. Its description in RNAcentral is "partial 16S ribosomal RNA". It matches the Rfam family "Bacterial small subunit ribosomal RNA", at positions 28 to 507 of the family's 1533-position model. The record is from RNAcentral.